Long non-coding RNA from Sapajus apella (tufted capuchin), 607 nucleotides. RefSeq lists it as uncharacterized. The record is from RefSeq and is a predicted model, not a curated record. The transcript is spliced from 2 exons. NCBI's taxonomy places the organism in Eukaryota, Metazoa, Chordata, Mammalia, Primates, Cebidae.
UUUGCCAAUUAAAAAUUCAAAAACAAACUUUAAAAAAGUUUCAGAACAUGAAGAUACAGACCGGAUUGUUAUGGGCUGUGUUUUGUGUCCCCUCAACACUUACAGUCCCCUUUAUCAUGACUAAAUUUGGAGGCAGAAUCCUUUAAAAGAGUAAUGAAGGUUAAAUGAGACCAUAAGGGUGGAGCUCCAAUCCAAUGUGACUGGUGUCUUAUAAGAAGAGAAAGAACCCAAGGAUGCACGUGCGCAGAGGAACAGCCAUGUGAGCACGUGGUAAGACAACAGCCAACUGCAUGCAAGGAGAGAGGCCUCGGAGAAACCAGCCCUGCCUGAUGAAGCUGAAUUAACAGGUCCUCCACUUCUUCCACCUUGGCUACCCCUGAGACAGCAAGACCACCCCCUCCUCUUCCUCCUCCUCCUCAGCCUGCACAACAUGAAGACGAUGAGGAUGAAGACCUUUACCAUGACUCACUUCCACUCAAUGAAUAGUAAAUGUAUUUUCUCUUCCUUAUGGUUUUCUUAACAUUUUCUUUUAUUUGGCUUACUUUAUUGUAAGAAUACAGUAUAUAAUUCCUAUAACAUGCAAAAUAUCUGCUAAUCAACUGUUAUU